Molecule: ribosomal RNA, 587 nt
Filed under: uncultured bacterium
Lineage: Bacteria
Description: bacterial SSU rRNA
Rfam family: Bacterial small subunit ribosomal RNA
Source: RNAcentral
CUCCUACGGGAGGCAGCAGUGGGGAAUUUUGGACAAUGGGGGCAACCCUGAUCCAGCACUGCCGCGUGUGUGAAGAAGGCCUUCGGGUUGUAAAGCACUUUUGUCCGGGAAGAAAUCGCACCUGAUAAUACCGGGUGUGGAUGACGGUACCGGAAGAAUAAGGACCGGCUAACUACGUGCCAGCAGCCGCGGUAAUACGUAGGGUCCAAGCGUUAAUCGGAAUUACUGGGCGUAAAGCGUGCGCAGGCGGUUGUGCAAGACCGAUGUGAAAUCCCCGGGCUUAACCUGGGAAUUGCAUUGGUGACUGCACGGCUAGAGUGUGUCAGAGGGGGGUAGAAUUCCACGUGUAGCAGUGAAAUGCGUAGAGAUGUGGAGGAAUACCGAUGGCGAAGGCAGCCCCCUGGGAUAACACUGACGCUCAUGCACGAAAGCGUGGGGAGCAAACAGGAUUAGAUACCCUGGUAGUCCACGCCCUAAACGAUGUCAACUAGUUGUUGGGGAUUCAUUUCCUUAGUAACGUAGCUAACGCGUGAAGUUGACCGCCUGGGGAGUACGGUCGCAAGAUUAAAACUCAAAGGAAUUGACGG